RNAcentral lists this ribosomal RNA (107 nucleotides) under uncultured bacterium. RNAcentral's name for it is "partial 16S ribosomal RNA". It matches the Rfam family "Bacterial small subunit ribosomal RNA", at positions 1379 to 1482 of the family's 1533-position model. The record is from RNAcentral.
CCUUGUACACACCGCCCGUCAAGUCAUGGGAGUUGGGAGUACCCGAAGUCCGUUUAGCUGACCCGCAAGGGAGGCGGCGGCCGACGGUAAGCCCGAUGACUGGGACU